This 215-nucleotide ribosomal RNA is filed under the name Campeiostachys nutans. Its description in RNAcentral is "Elymus nutans partial small subunit ribosomal RNA". The stretch from base 49 to 215 matches the Rfam family "Eukaryotic small subunit ribosomal RNA", at positions 696 to 864 of the family's 1831-position model. The record is from RNAcentral. Lineage: Eukaryota; Viridiplantae; Streptophyta; Magnoliopsida; Poales; Poaceae.
GACCUGGUUGGGCGGUCCGCUUAACGGCGUGUACUGCUUGACUGGGCCUUACCUCUUGGUGAGCCGUAAUGCCAUUAAUUUGGUGUUGCGGGGAAUUUGGACUGUUACUUUGAAAAAAUUAGAGUGUUUAAAGCAAGCUAACGCUUGAAUACAUUAGCAUGGAAUAAUGAAAUAGGACGUUCAAUCCUAUUUUGUUGGUUUCUAGGAUUGACGUA